AACGAACGUUAGCGGCGCGCUUAACACAUGCAAGUCGAGCGAGAAAGGGGCAACCCCGGUAAAGCGGCGCACGGGUGAGUAACACGUAGAUAAUCUACCCCCAGAUGGUGGAUAACCUUCCGAAAGGAGGGCUAAUACAGCAUGAGACCACGACUCCGAAAGGGGAUGAGGUCAAAGCCGGCCUCUUCAUGAAAGCUGGCGUCAGGGGAUGAGUCUGCGGCCCAUCAGCUAGUUGGUAGGGUAACGGCCUACCAAGGCGAAGACGGGUAGCUGGUCUGAGAGGAUGAUCAGCCACACUGGAACUGAGACACGGUCCAGACUCCUACGGGAGGCAGCAGUGGGGAAUCUUGCGCAAUGGGCGAAAGCCUGACGCAGCGACGCCGCGUGAGUGAUGAAGGCCUUCGGGUUGUAAAGCUCUGUGGAGGGGGACGAAUAAGUCGUGGCCAACAUCCACGAUGAUGACGGUACCCCUUUAGCAAGCACCGGCUAACUCUGUGCCAGCAGCCGCGG
Molecule: ribosomal RNA, 510 nt
Filed under: uncultured bacterium
Lineage: Bacteria
Description: bacterial SSU rRNA
Rfam family: Bacterial small subunit ribosomal RNA
Source: RNAcentral